UAUAUAACUUGACUCCGAGCCUAAUUUCCUAAGUUAAGAUUAAUAUGGAAAUAGUGCCUGCAACUUGAUUGCACAAGGUGUAUUUAGAAAUGAAUACGCCUCCCCUUUGGAAAGGUGUCGUAACUUAAACUUU
This 133-nucleotide non-coding RNA is filed under the name Canicola haemoglobinophilus. RNAcentral describes it as "Haemophilus haemoglobinophilus MoCo sequence". It matches the Rfam family "Molybdenum/Tungsten riboswitch aptamer (Moco RNA motif)". The record is from RNAcentral. Lineage: Bacteria; Pseudomonadati; Pseudomonadota; Gammaproteobacteria; Pasteurellales; Pasteurellaceae.